Molecule: ribosomal RNA, 253 nt
Filed under: uncultured bacterium
Lineage: Bacteria
Description: partial 16S ribosomal RNA
Rfam family: Bacterial small subunit ribosomal RNA
Source: RNAcentral
UACGUAGGUGGCAAGCGUUGUCCGGAUUUAUUGGGCGUAAAGCGCGCGCAGGCGGUUCGUUAAGUCCGAGGUGAAAUCUCCCGGCUCAACUGGGAGGGGUCUUUGGAUACUGGCGGACUUGAGGAGUGCAGAGGUGAGUGGAAUUCUGGGUGUAGUGGUGAAAUGCGUAGAUAUCCAGAGGAACACCAGCGGCGAAGGCGGCUCACUGGGCACCACCUGACGCUGAGGCGCGAAAGCGUGGGGAGCGAACCGG